This 527-nucleotide ribosomal RNA is filed under the name uncultured bacterium. Its description in RNAcentral is "bacterial SSU rRNA". It matches the Rfam family "Bacterial small subunit ribosomal RNA", at positions 29 to 536 of the family's 1533-position model. The record is from RNAcentral.
AACGAACGCUGGCGGCGUGCUUAACACAUGCAAGUCGAACGCGAAAGGGACUUCGGUCCUGAGUAAAGUGGCGCACGGGUGAGUAACGCGUGGAUAAUCUACCCGAUGGACCGGGAUAACAUUUCGAAAGGGGUGCUAAUACCGGAUAAGACCACGGCUUCUUAGGGGGCUGCGGUAAAAGGUGGGGACCUUCGGGCCUACCGUCAUCGGAUGAGUCCGCGUACCAUUAGCUAGUUGGUAGGGUAAGGGCCUACCAAGGCGACGAUGGUUAGCUGGUCUGAGAGGAUGAUCAGCCACACUGGAAUUGAGACACGGUCCAGACUCCUACGGGAGGCAGCAGUGGGGAAUUUUGCGCAAUGGGGGAAACCCUGACGCAGCAACGCCGCGUGAGUGAUGAAGGCCUUCGGUCGUAAAGCUCUGUCAGAGGGAAGAAGUGCAGGGGUGCGUAAUAUCACCUUUGUUUGACGGUACCCUCAAAGGAAGCACCGGCUAACUCCGUGCCAGCAGCCGCGGUAACUGUAGUCGUC